RNAcentral lists this ribosomal RNA (330 nucleotides) under Staphylococcus aureus. RNAcentral's name for it is "bacterial SSU rRNA". It matches the Rfam family "Bacterial small subunit ribosomal RNA", at positions 1 to 319 of the family's 1533-position model. The record is from RNAcentral. Lineage: Bacteria; Bacillati; Bacillota; Bacilli; Caryophanales; Staphylococcaceae.
UUUUAUGGAGAGUUUGAUCCUGGCUCAGGAUGAACGCUGGCGGCGUGCCUAAUACAUGCAAGUCGAGCGAACGGACGAGAAGCUUGCUUCUCUGAUGUUAGCGGCGGACGGGUGAGUAACACGUGGAUAACCUACCUAUAAGACUGGGAUAACUUCGGGAAACCGGAGCUAAUACCGGAUAAUAUUUUGAACCGCAUGGUUCAAAAGUGAAAGACGGUCUUGCUGUCACUUAUAGAUGGAUCCGCGCUGCAUUAGCUAGUUGGUAAGGUAACGGCUUACCAAGGCAACGAUGCAUAGCCGACCUGAGAGGGUGAUCGGCCACACUGGAAC